CUUCAUGAAGCUGGAAUUGCUAGUAAUGGCAGGUCAGCAUACUGCCGUGAAUACGUUCCCGGGCCUUGUACACACCGCCCGUCACACCAUGGGAGUCGGGAAUGCCCGAAGUCAGUGACCCAACCUUUGGAGGGAGCUGCCGAAGGCAGGUCUGAUAACUGGGGUGAAGUCGUAACAAGGUACC
Molecule: ribosomal RNA, 184 nt
Filed under: uncultured bacterium
Lineage: Bacteria
Description: partial 16S ribosomal RNA
Rfam family: Bacterial small subunit ribosomal RNA
Source: RNAcentral